This 65-nucleotide transfer RNA is filed under the name Eclysippe vanelli. RNAcentral's name for it is "tRNA-Cys". Lineage: Eukaryota; Metazoa; Annelida; Polychaeta; Terebellida; Ampharetidae. The record is from RNAcentral.
GGCUGUAUAGUUGAAUAACAACGUUAAAUUGCAAACUUAAAGGUGUAAAGAAUUUACUAGAGCUU